Molecule: long non-coding RNA, 4561 nt
Organism: Alligator mississippiensis (American alligator)
Lineage: Eukaryota; Metazoa; Chordata; Crocodylia; Alligatoridae
Exons: 4
Source: RefSeq, a predicted model, not a curated record
CUUCUAAACACACUGUCUGGGAUUUUCAAAGAAGCCUAAGGGUUUGGGGUUCAUAGUCACCUGCUGAAUUUCAGUGAGACUUAUUGCUUAACACUGUUAUGAGAGAUACCAUUUGAAUCAAAACCAUAGAUCCAGAUAACCCCAGACCUACCCCUAUAUAGAGAAGCUGAGGAUUGUACUAAAGUAGGAAAUAAAUUCUAUUAACCAGAACAGUGACUUCAUGCAAGAUUUGCCAUUUAUGAGGCUUGCAAGAGUGCUGCCAAGUAAAUGAGGUGUAGGUGUCAGCUUUGCUCAGAAAGAUGAGAUGGGGCAAGUGCUGGAAGGACCAACUGGGGCUCAUAUAAGAGUAAGGAAGGUAAAGCUGGAGUGAACUGUUUCUUCAUAAAAGUGAUCCCAAAAAACGGGUGUGACAAAUCUCCAAAGUUUGGAGCAGGUAGUUUAACUUAUGCUUUGCCCAUCAGCAUGGCCCAAGAUUUGGGAUGGAGAGCAAAGAUGGAGGGGAUCCACCUAUUCCCUCUUUUAGCACUGAUUCCACUGUCCCUGAGGAUUCAUAUUACAAAACCAAACUAGGAAAAGCCCAAGAUUAGAGACAAAAGAAAAUAAAGGAUUCUUAAACCCUAGCGAGCGAGCAGCAGAAAGCGGAGCUGAGCAGCCAUGUUUGAUUUUCUCUGACCAGUGAAAUGCGAAAAGCUAUUUAACAGAAAAGUAAAUGUGAUUUAUAAAAUACUUUGUAAGGAGUUAUUAGUAACCCAGGAAACCAUUUUAUUUUUAAGUACUUAGACCUUGGUCCACCAAAUACUUACACAUGCUUGGCUUUAAUGUUGUAAGGAGUCCCAUGUGCUUAAAGUUAAGAAGAUAAAUGCCUGUGGGCAUAGGGCUUACAAACCAAUGAUAUAGGUGCCUUAGAAACUUUGUAGAUUUUAUGGAUACAUAAAUCAAAGAAGUGUGCAUCAAGAUAAAAAUAAAGGUUCAUAAAUUAUGAAAGAACAAAAUAAAUGUAUCCCACACAACUCUCCUCUGAAUGUAUACAACUGCUACGUACCAGCCAACUCCCAUUACCUGGACCAUCAAUGGAAAUUUGAAAUUAACAUGUGUGGGAUAGAAAACUCGAACCACUGCUGCAUUACCAAUUGCAGUUUUCCUUUUUCUACUGACUUCUGCUGCUAAUAUCCACCUGAUGUUGCAUAUUUAAUUAGAUCAUGGUGUCAUAAAGUACAAUUAUCCUUCCACCUCUCCAGAUGACUUUGAUUUUUUUUUUAAAGGAAAAAACUUCACCUGAAGCAAUCUUUGAUGCUCCCACUGAAUACGUUAAACAAAAUUUAACUUUCUACUCUAUUUUGUUGGAGCUGGCAAAUGAAUCACAAUUUGAUUGUUGCAGGAUAACAAGUGCAAGGGGCUAGAAACUCCUGCUCUGGGGACAAAGGGGCAGCAAAGGAAUGCCAGAGGUCUGGGCAAGUGGCCCAGGGAGAGCCAGAAUCUGAGAGAAUUUACCUGCCACAGGUGCAGCAGCUGGAAGCAUGGAGCAGUGGCCAGCAUUGCCCAUGUGGUUUUUGAGCACAUUGUUGAUGCAGCUGGGACGGCGCAGAGAUGUGAUGUCAUUAGCCCGCGUCAGAGACUGACUACAAGAGCUAGCACAGAGCAGCAAAAAGGAGGGGAGCAGUGAGGCAGCUGCAAGCUCUCAGGUGGCACUCCCAGGCUCACACUGCACUGGUUCCACAGAGGAGAUACCCGGAGAGGUAUGUCUCCUAUCCUGACACCGAUGCCACCCCAGAGGAGGAAGCACCGAGGAUUUGAAGGCGCAGUGACCUACGGGAACAUGCUACCUGGAUAUUGGGCCCAGGUGAACUAAUAUAGACAGAAAGUGGGUACUGUCUUGACUUUAUACACAAUGUAUCAGCACAGCUAAGCUACCCUGAGGGUGAAGCAUCACAGUCUAGCUGCUAUUCCAGGCCAGGAGGGUAUUAUGUGUCACAGGACUGGUUUCUCUGACAAACAUCUUCCUAUGAUUGACUUUGAUGUGCUCAAUACAUUGGAUAAUCAAUCAGAUAACCCAAAUGGAAUGAAACAGCAAUAGAGGGAGUUUUUUGUCACUUCAUGACUGCCAUCUUGGAGACUAAGGAUUUUAAAGGGAGAUGAUGAACAGAGUAAAUGGCUUACCAGGAGUCACACCAGAAGUGUGCAUCUGUACCAGGAACUGAGCCCAAGUCUCUGACAUCACAGCUGAGUGCUUUGCCUUAUCUAUCAGACCAUCUGGCCUACCCUGCUACUUAAUGUCAAAGCAUUCCCUGUACUUUCCAAUUUAAAAUAAUAUCUUUGUAUUCUAUAAAUGGUAUUGAUUGAUCUGGUUAUAUACAAUUAAAUGAAUUCUCAACAAAGCAGUAAAGCUUACUAAAAAAAUACAUUGUCAAUGCAACAGUGAUUAUACAAUCAAAAAAAUAUUCACUCAAACAGAUCUGUUGUAUACAUACUUUUUUUUCCUUACAAAACCUAGAGAGCCAGCUUUUGUUCAAACAAUACCAUUUUCUACAGUAAGCUGUUUAGCAUGUUUCUAGUGUAGCUUCUACUAACAUUUUUUCUUGUAAGACUAAUAGUGUUUCUACUAGAAGUUUAUCAAGAGGCUAGGAGCUAGUAUGCUAGAAAAAUCAGUGAAAAGCUCAACUUUAAGUUGAUUGUCCAAAAAAUGUAGCUUUGCAAGCAAUAUCUUUAUAUUUUCAGAGGGAGUUUUCCACUUUAAAAAUGCAUUUCCCUCAUCUUGAAAUUUCAAGUAAAAUAUUCAUAAAGCUACAUAAUUAUAAAAAGAAAAAUAGCCUGUAAAUUCUAAAGUAAUAUAUACUCCUAUCUCAUUAAAGGACAGAAAUCUAGCUUGGAUCUUGCAUGCUCUUCCUCAUUACAAGACUAUUUAUAUAAAAGUCAAAUAGCCAUUGGCUCUGCUUAUACUUACAGUUAUUGAAAACCGUAUAAAAUACUUCCCUCACAAUUUUAGCAUAUAUCUAACUUUUCAUUAUUUAUGACAUACAACAGCUCAACUCUCAAGGUCACACUCCAAAGAAGUCAAAUCUCCCCUCCCUUUUUUUGGAGGAGGGGGGCUAGAAGGGGGAGUUAUUUUACCUCAGAAUUUCAAUCAGCUGAGGAAAGAAUAUCAGAGAAUAUAUAGUGUAGGCAAUCAAGAACCUAAUAUAGUUUCAGCAAAUGCCUUCAAGGGUGGAAAGCUGCUGAGGAGCUUUUUAGCUAACACUUCAUUUUAAUGGCACAUUUAACUAAUGCCAAAUUUCAGUGGGGUUAUGAUAAGAGUCCAUAUGACAUGCAUAUAACUACCAAACAAAUUCAUUUUGACAGGUGUUAUUACAAAAAAUGCUAAAAGACAAAAGGACAAAUUUAAAUUCUUGUUUUUUAUUCCAAUGCCUGCUUUCCCCAUACACUGUAGUUCACUGUAGUAUUCAAUCCAGGAAAGAUUCCAUUCUAAGUAUGUCUAGUAAACCUAGUUUCUGAUCCCCUAAACUCUCGUUGACCGUGUCUACACGAAACUCUUUACUGCACAGUACACUAGUCAACUGCACAGUAAAGCAUCACCAUCUACAGAUGCAGGUGCUUACUGCACAAUAAAUUAAUCUACUGCGCUGUAAAGCCAAAUUGCAUUAAUUGCAUGUGUAGCUGUACCCACUGACUAGUGCACUGAUUUGAUUGGCACUAUUUGUAGACUGAGCUACUGCAAUUAAUCUGUAUUCUCAAAUGCAUUGCAGGGAUGAACCAAAUCUUAUUAAAAGAAAAAGCCUCAUAGAUGACUCUUUUCCCUUUGGUCCUUGCGUUACAUUGCUGUGACAUCUACAGCACUGCAAUAUGGAGAAAAAAUGUUAGGAAAGUAAUUAAAGUAUUUGAAUUGAUUUUUAGUAUAGUUUAUGUGCUGGAAAUUAGGUGAAGGAACAAAAAACAGAAGAAACAUCAGCUUUCUGAAGACCGUUAUUCUCAAGAGCUGUUUAAGAACCUUCAAUGCAUAUCCAAAAAUAAUAUGAAAAGAAAUAUAUAACAGCUUUUGUUUUUCAAAAAGUACAUUGCUUAAUGUUUACUGAGCUUAUGAGCCCUUUGGGGUAGAGACUGGUUUUUGUUCUUCUUUAUACAACUUUUAAUGCAACGGAGUCUUGGUCUGUGACUGGCAUUCUGAGGUGGCACUCCAGUACAAAUAAAGAAAAAAUAAUAUUUGGAAGGCCUAAACACUAAACAUUUUCACAGGAACUAGCCGUCAUGUUUAGUGUUGUUUCCAACAGUAGCUACUAAGUUCAGAAGAAUGUGCAAACAAUCUUGAAACAGGGAGAUAUGAGAUAACCUGCCCCAGCAUAAAGGUCUUGUCCUGACCCUAAUAGAGCAUUGAUUUUCAAUCAAGGUACUGGGGCAUCCUGGGGUGCCAUGAGAUCCUUUGAAGGAUGUGGCAUCAUCCAGCCUGGCUACUUGGCCACUGUCCUGACCCCAAUGUCUGGCCCUUCUGCAAGGAGGUAAGCACCAUAGUAUAUAAAUUCAUUUUUUAAAUGGGGUGCUGCUCAAUUCAUCAAAGUUAUGGAGGGGUUGC